AAAACAAUACAAAUAAGGUACAACCCUAGUUUUGCUUACAAAUUACAAUUUGAAAUUAUAAGCGACAAAACAAAACAUUCUUUUUCAUAAAUCUACCAUUCGCCGCUACCAAAUUUUCUUCUGACUGCUACUUGCUUCCAUUAACAGCAUUGCUGCUGCUGCCGACCUCCUCUACACCGCCAAUUCUGCUUCCGACUUCCUUUACACUCGUCAACUGCAAUCCUGCACCAUAUUUGGCGUUUUUCUCAUCUGAAUUUCACUCUUUGGAUUUAGAUUUCAGAUGUUGAAAGGAUUUAUCCCUGACAAUGAUCAGAAGAGAGAUAAGGCAUCAUUCUUGUUGGAGGUCGAGUAUAUUCAUUAUUUACAGGAAAAGGUUAUCAAAUUAAAGCUUGUGAAUGAUUGAAUUUCAAAACGGAGGUAGAGUAAAUAAAAUGAACUCAACUAUUGAACAAGAUCAAGGAUUCAAGUUAAAUAUAAGUGAGCAUUGCUAAUCUUUUGAAUUGUUUCUAAGAAUAUACAAGUAUACUCUAAUUGAUUUGAUUUAUUUGGUACUAGUUAAUAAGUUUAUGCCUUUUUAAUCUAGUAUGUAUGUAUGUAUAGCGUAGAGGAGGAAAAGUUAAUUGCGGUUUCUUAGGCUUAAUUAUAUAUGAAGAUGUAGUGAUGAUCAUGGAUGAAGGAAUAUGUUUUUGCUAGUUUCUGCAUUAGAUUUGGGUUUACUUUAAAAUGUAAUGAAUAUUUACUGUUUCUCACUAAUUGUCUGGGGGAUUUUACCCGGAGAAUUGUCUUAGAUUGUGGUAGUAAUGGCAGGAUCUUCUCUGAAUUUAACGCCUAUGAAAUUUAAGACAUGCGUGCUCAUUUCCACCUUUUCUAGCUUAGCUUCUUCUCUGGAUUUAACGCCUAAUGCCAGGAUAUAAAUUAAAGCUUAACUUAGUUUUACUUAGCUUGUCUCCAACAUAAACCCAAAAAGGUUUAGAUCACACUGUAUUCGACAUUACUGCCAUUUAUUAGUUCCUAGUAGUGUGAUUGAUUUUUACCGUUUCUCACCAUGCAUUUGUACUGUUCCUGAGUAGUUUAGUUCCGAGAAAAAGUGGUUAUGAACAUGAGUUUCAUUGUAUUUUGGGAAAUUAGUUGGUGGUGUGGGAAAGAAUCAAGGUGGUCUUUUAUUGUAUUGAGUUUAUUUGCAGGUACAUGAGUUUAAAAAGUUUUGGAUUAUUCAUUUUACAAACGAAAUUUUGCCAAGUAUAAAUUAGAAUUUUUUUUAAAAAAAUAAAUAUUUUGUAAUGCAUGAAGAAAAAAAUUGAAUUGUACAUGUGGAUGAGAAUAAAAUGAAAAAUAAUUAUUAUAUGGAUGAAAUUAGAACGAAAAAAAUUAAAUUGCGUGGAUGAAAUUAAAAGAAUUUUUAAUAGAUAUAUUUCUGAAAACAUAAAUUAUGCAAAAUGGAGAGGAGAAUCCAAAAUACAAAACGAAGCUAAAUUAUCUCUUUUUAAAUUUAAGCUUUAUUAUAAUUCCUCGAUAACAACUUUGAAUGUUUAUAGCAGUGAUGUUCCUAGCGUUGUACGGGUUCUAGGCAAACUAAAAGAAGUGGACCCUCUCUGUGGAGGGUCUAUUCUGAACUUAAAAAGAUAUUUGGAAAAAUAACAAAGAUGGACCCUAUAUAUAUUAAUUAGCAUUAGAAAUAUAGAUAUAUCAUAUAAUUGUUAAAAUGAUAAAAGAACUACUUAUAAAUUGUAAAUUUCUAAGUGUACUUUCAUUAACUAGCAUUUAGGGUUCUUUCUGACUUUGUGUCCGAGGCAAAUAUAUACCUUGUCUAUGGUUAGAAACGUCCCAGAUUUAUAGAUUAUACAUACAUAAGUACACAUACAUACACCAACAGCAAAUUAUAGAAAACCACAAAAAUUUCAAAUCUCACAAGUCACGAUCUUACAAACAUUGAUUGAAACUAAUAAAGGUAAACACUAAAAUGAGCAAUAGUAUUAACCCCAUCAGUUGUAUGAUAACAAUAGCUUAGAAACACAUUAAUCUUAGCGAGACUUCUAGAAAUCAGUCAACAAAGGCUCUUCACCUACUCAUGCGUUGAUGCUAACCACUCUUUUUUUAAUAUCAAGCAAUCAAUAAUUAAAACAUUUAUUAAAAAAAAAGCUGUCAAAAGUCAAGUGAUAAAUUUCUAGAGUAAUGUGUAAUUAAAUUUAAACUAAUUGAAUUAAAUAGCUGAUCAUUUUAUAUUAAUCAAAGAUUUGACGAGUUAUAGAAUUAUUUCAACUAAUCAAACACUCUGAUCUAUAAAUUGACUAAGAGAAAAAACGAUAAAUUAACAAUCAUUAAAACAUUUUUAAAAAGUUGUGAAAAGCCAAGAAUCAAAUUUCUAGAGCACU
Amaranthus tricolor (Joseph's coat) is the source of this 2372-nucleotide long non-coding RNA. RefSeq lists it as uncharacterized. The record is from RefSeq and is a predicted model, not a curated record. The transcript has 3 exons. Lineage: Eukaryota; Viridiplantae; Streptophyta; Magnoliopsida; Caryophyllales; Amaranthaceae.